This 253-nucleotide ribosomal RNA is filed under the name uncultured bacterium. RNAcentral's name for it is "partial 16S ribosomal RNA". It matches the Rfam family "Bacterial small subunit ribosomal RNA", at positions 524 to 776 of the family's 1533-position model. The record is from RNAcentral.
UACGUAGGGUGCAAGCGUUAAUCGGAAUUACUGGGCGUAAAGCGUGCGCAGGCGGCUCUGCAAGACAGAUGUGAAAUCCCCGGGCUUAACCUGGGAACUGCAUUUGUGACUGCAUGGCUAGAGUGCGGCAGAGGGGGAUGGAAUUCCGCGUGUAGCAGUGAAAUGCGUAGAUAUGCGGAGGAACACCGAUGGCGAAGGCAAUCCCCUGGGCCUGCACUGACGCUCAUGCACGAAAGCGUGGGGAGCAAACAGG